GAUGAACGCUGGCGGUAUGCUUAACACAUGCAAGUCGAACGGUACCUUCGGGUAUAGUGGCGGACGGGUGAGUAACGCGUGAGAAUCUGUCUUCAGGUCGGGGACAACAGUUAGAAAUGGCUGCUAAUACCGGAUGUGCCGUAAGGUGAAAGAUUUAUUGCCUGAAAAAGAGCUCGCGUCAGAUUAGCUAGUAGGUGGUGUAAGAGACUACCUAGGCGACGAUCUGUAGCUGGUCUGAGAGGACGAUCAGCCACACUGGAACUGAGACACGGUCCAGACUCCUACGGGAGGCAGCGGUGGGGAAUUUUCCGCAAUGGGCGAAAGCCUGACGGAGCAAUACCGCGUGAGGGACGAAGGCUUUUUGGGUCGUAAACCUCUUUUAUUAGGGAAGAUUUCAGGACGGUACCUAAUGAAUAAGCAUCGGCUAACUCUGUGCCAGCAGCCGCGGUAAU
Molecule: ribosomal RNA, 452 nt
Filed under: uncultured cyanobacterium
Lineage: Bacteria; Bacillati; Cyanobacteriota
Description: bacterial SSU rRNA
Rfam family: Bacterial small subunit ribosomal RNA
Source: RNAcentral